ACGCCAGGAUGUCCUAGUUAUUACAAAGACUCAAGUCCUGAAGUCCAGUGUGUCAAAAUUAGAUUUCACACCUUGGCCCAGCCGUGAUGAUCCUCCACAGAGUCGACAGACAGUGCGAUGAUUUUGACGCCACGUUUACUGAACUCCCCGUGCAGUCUGGCAGCUCGGCCCAGCUCUGUGGUGCACACAGUGUACUUACGAGUCCCCGAGGAAUUCGUGGAGUGUAAUUUUGCCAUGGGUGCUCUCUGCCUCAAAGUCAGGAAACAUGUCUCCGAGCAGCAUAUUCACUCUGACUGAGCCAGCGGACCGUUGGCUGAGCUCAGCAUGAAGACUGAAAACAGGGGAAAUGGUUGCUUCCCCCAGAGACCACAGACUAACAAGACUAAGUAUUGAACGGCACGGUAGCAGUUCUGUAAGACUGUACCAUGUACAAAUAUAUCCACAGAUGUUAAAGUUGGAGAAAGUUCCACAAAUAACAUUCAUUCUUUUUCAUCCGCUGUAUCUUGUUUAGGGCCAAUGGAGGGGGGAGGGGAAUCUACAGCCAGCUGACAAGGAUGAAAGGGAACUGUUUCCAUCCUCACUGACAGGAGCACAUACAGAAUGUUCCUCCCAGUCUUAUCUCAGGGACCUGGAAUGGGCAGUAAAGUCACUGGAUUCCUUCCCUGGACACAGAUGCAGAAGUCUGACGCUGUAUCAAAUUCGACAGCUGCAUCUGCAGCGCAUGUCUGUGACUUCUCAAAACCAAACACACUGAGGUCAUUU
Molecule: long non-coding RNA, 762 nt
Organism: Solea senegalensis (Senegalese sole)
Lineage: Eukaryota; Metazoa; Chordata; Actinopteri; Pleuronectiformes; Soleidae
Exons: 5
Source: RefSeq, a predicted model, not a curated record